GGGGGCGAAAUAGGAUCGACGAGGGUGUAAAGAUCGGACUUUCGCUCGGCAUGGUACCACCGUUAUCGGACCGAACCUUAUAGUUGCCAACGACAACUAUGCGGAAGCACGUCUCGCUGCUUAAUGCAGCGCGAUAGCUUCAAUUCAAGUCUCAGGCCGUCGCAGGCCUGAGCGGGGUUCGGAGGCACCUGGCAACAGAAGCCUCCACU
This 209-nucleotide transfer-messenger RNA is filed under the name Mesorhabditis sp. RNAcentral describes it as "transfer-messenger RNA Chela_sp_BNC1". It matches the Rfam family "Alphaproteobacteria transfer-messenger RNA", at positions 148 to 355 of the family's 355-position model. Rfam says of the family: Bacterial tmRNA, also known as 10Sa RNA or SsrA, is named for its dual tRNA and mRNA-like properties. Its role is to liberate the mRNA from a stalled ribosome. To accomplish this part of the tmRNA is used as a reading frame that ends in a translation stop signal. RNAcentral also lists the same sequence under 1 other name. Lineage: Eukaryota; Metazoa; Nematoda; Chromadorea; Rhabditida; Rhabditidae. The record is from RNAcentral.